AACGAACGCUGGCGGCAUGCCUAACACAUGCAAGUCGAACGAGACCUCCGGGUCUUGUGGCGCACGGGUGCGUAACGCGGGGGAACCUGCCCUUAGGUUCGGAAUAACUCCCCGAAAGGGGUGCUAAUACCGGAUAAUGUCUUCGGACCAAAGAUUUAUCGCCUUUGGAUGGGCCCUCGUUGGAUUAGCUAGUUGGUAGGGUAAAAGCAUACCAAGGCGACGAUCCAUAGCUGGUCUGAGAGGAUGAUCAGCCACACUGGGACUGAGACACGGCCCAGAAUCCUACGGGAGGCAGCAGUGGGGAAUAUUGGACAAUGGGCGAAAGCCUGAUCCAGCAAUGCCGCGGAAGUGAUGAAGGCCUUAGGGUUGUAAAGCUCUUUUACCCGGGAUGAUAAUGACAGUACCGGGUGAAUAAGCGCCGGCUAACUACGUG
RNAcentral lists this ribosomal RNA (433 nucleotides) under uncultured bacterium. RNAcentral describes it as "partial 16S ribosomal RNA". It matches the Rfam family "Bacterial small subunit ribosomal RNA", at positions 29 to 507 of the family's 1533-position model. The record is from RNAcentral.